This is a small nuclear RNA of Cavia porcellus (domestic guinea pig), 164 nucleotides long. Its record names the gene U1. It matches the Rfam family "U1 spliceosomal RNA". From Rfam's summary of the family: U1 is a small nuclear RNA (snRNA) component of the spliceosome (involved in pre-mRNA splicing). The record is from Ensembl. Lineage: Eukaryota; Metazoa; Chordata; Mammalia; Rodentia; Caviidae.
AUAGUUACCUGGCAGGGGAGAUACCAUGAUCACGAAGGUGAUUUUCCCAGGGUGAAGCUCACCCAUUGCACUCCAAAUGUUCUGACCUCUGCAAUUUCCCCAAAUGUGGAAAACUCGACUGCAUAAUUUGUGGUAGCAGUGGAUUGCGUUCACACUCUCCCCUG